UAGGGAAUCUUCCGCAAUGGACGCAAGUCUGACGGAGCAACGCCGCGUGAGUGAAGAAGGAUUUCGGUUCGUAAAACUCUGUUGUUAGAGAAGAACAGCGCAUAGAGUAACUGUUAUGCGUGUGACGGUAUCUAACCAGAAAGCCACGGCUAACUACGUGCCAGCAGCCGCGGUAAUACGUAGGUGGCAAGCGUUGUCCGGAUUUAUUGGGCGUAAAGCGAGCGCAGGCGGUCCAUUAAGUCUGAUGUGAAAGCCCCCGGCUCAACCGGGGAGGGUCAUUGGAAACUGGUUGACUUGAGUGCAGAAGAGGAGAGUGGAAUUCCAUGUGUAGCGGUGAAAUGCGUAGAUAUAUGGAGGAACACCAGUGGCGAAGGCGACUCUCUGGUCUGUAACUGACGCUGAGGUUCGAAAGCGUGGGUAGCAAACAGG
RNAcentral lists this ribosomal RNA (429 nucleotides) under Bacteroidota bacterium. RNAcentral's name for it is "Bacteroidetes bacterium partial 16S ribosomal RNA". It matches the Rfam family "Bacterial small subunit ribosomal RNA", at positions 355 to 776 of the family's 1533-position model. Lineage: Bacteria; Pseudomonadati; Bacteroidota. The record is from RNAcentral.